Molecule: ribosomal RNA, 467 nt
Filed under: uncultured bacterium
Lineage: Bacteria
Description: partial 16S ribosomal RNA
Rfam family: Bacterial small subunit ribosomal RNA
Source: RNAcentral
GACGAACGCUGGCGGCGUGCUUAACACAUGCAAGUCGAACGGAAAGGCCCUGCUUUUGUGGGGUGCUCGAGUGGCGAACGGGUGAGUAACACGUGAGUAACCUGCCCUUGACUUUGGGAUAACUUCAGGAAACUGGGGCUAAUACCGGAUAGGAGCUCCUGCUGCAUGGUGGGGGUUGGAAAGUUUCGGCGGUUGGGGAUGGACUCGCGGCUUAUCAGCUUGUUGGUGGGGUAGUGGCUUACCAAGGCUUUGACGGGUAGCCGGCCUGAGAGGGUGACCGGCCACAUUGGAACUGAGUAACGGCCCAGGCUCCUACGGGAGGCAGCAGUGGGGAAUAUUGCACAAUGGGCGGAAGCCUGAUGCAGCAACGCCGCGUGCGGGAUGACGGCCUUCGGGUUGUAACCGCUUUCGCCUGUGACGAAGCGUGAGUGACGGUAAUGUGUAAAGAAGCACCGGCUAACUACGUG